RNAcentral lists this small nucleolar RNA (98 nucleotides) under Olea europaea subsp. europaea. RNAcentral describes it as "Small nucleolar RNA Z103". It matches the Rfam family "Small nucleolar RNA Z103". From Rfam's summary of the family: This family consists of several snoRNA Z103 sequences which are members of the C/D class of snoRNA which contain the C (UGAUGA) and D (CUGA) box motifs. This family seems to be found exclusively in plants. Lineage: Eukaryota; Viridiplantae; Streptophyta; Magnoliopsida; Lamiales; Oleaceae. The record is from Rfam by way of RNAcentral.
AUGGACAUGACGAUUAUUUCCCCACACGAUCGAAGUUGAUUAUACUGUGCUAUUAGAAAUUCUUGUUUUGGAGAAUUCAAGCCAGAAAUCUGACCCAU